UUCUUGUGCUUUUUUAUAAAGCAUCCUGCUCUGCACCUGAUUCCCCCUCGUCACCAUUCAUUUUGGAAGUCACAAAACCUGGUGCAGCCUCUCCCUCAGUUAUAUGUUGCAGGUUUGCCUCCCCAUGGGUCUCUCCACUAACCUUGGAAUCUUUCACUUCCUUGUCAUUGCUAUUCUCUUCUUCCAGAUCAUCCAUGGAAUGUUCAGGAGUUGCCUUUGAAGGUAAAUCCUCGUGCAACCCAUCAUCGGCUUGGAAACCGACAAUAGCUUCCACAAAGACAACAUCAGAAACCAGUAAUAUAUUGUUCUCUACUUGGUCAUGGAUGAUUCUAUCGUCUCCAAGCUUCUUCUCUUCCUUCUCUGACCUGCUCAGAAGCAUAACCAAAACGAAAUCACCAAUCAUUGCACCAAUCAAACAAAAGACUUAAGGUUUGAUAUAAAUUCCAACAACCCUAACAAUAAAAUAGAGUAGAAACAAAACAAUAGCUCAGGAUUAUCACCACAAACUAUAGAGUACUCGUCUAUUUUCAAAGAUAUACAUAGAAGAAGAAUUCAUUGAAAAUGAAACCAUAAAAGCUUACCCGAAAGAGAGGAGAACAGCUUUCUUCUCAGGGGAGACGAUUCCAUUUUCAGAAAAAGAAAGUGUAGCUGUCUCGCUGACAUUCCCUGCACCUGCUUCCCCUUCAUCACCAUUCAUUUGGGAAGUCACAAAACCUGGUACAGCCUCUCCCGUAGUUAUAUGUUGCAGGUUUGCCUCACCAUGGCUCUCUCCAUUAACCUCUGGCACUUUCACUUCCUCUGAAGGCAAAUCCUCGUGUAACCCAUCAUCGGCUUGGAAAGAUUCAGGCUUCGAACUGUCGAUAGCUUCCUCAAAUACCUCAUCUUCGGUAUCCCUCGCAUCAACAUCAGAAACCAUCAAUUCAAUUCUCUUUACUUGCUCAUCGCUGACUCUAUCUGCAAGCUUCUUCUCUUCCAUAUCUGACCUGUUCACAACCAUCAAAAAGAAAAUCCUUCAGUGAACCAAACGCCACCAAGAGUUCCAAGUGAUUCAUCACAACCUCCGUCUGAGAACCAGAGAACCAGAUUCCUUCUGAUCUCCUCUUCCUUCUGACGUUCCUGAAGACGUCAUGCAUCGUAUCGGCCGAUCCUUCAUUCCCUUAGAACCCGUGCAGAUACCACGGCUCAGUUCUGUGAAUCUCACGAUCUUCUCGUUUCUCCUUUGUUCCUCCGCCGCGGUUCUCUGGUUCUCAGACAGAGGUUGAGCCGGCGACGGCAAGGUUUUCUGUGGCAAGCCUCCAUCGCUGCGUUUAGAUCUCAUCGGAAUCCUUCGAGAUAGAAUAACACUUCUUUUAGGAUCACUGGAUAACGUGGAUUAAGAGAGGAAAAGCAAAGGGUUUCACGAUUUGAUCUAGCAAAAUGGGAUCUGGAAAAAUGAAAAAGGGAAACGUCAAAUCUAUGGCCUCUCGGAUCGCGAAAGGCGUGAAGAAGAACCAAAGAAACGGAGCUGGGCUUGAUGACGUGGCAGAAAAACGAUCUUUGAUUGGUCAAUUUUAUUGUGUGACGUGGACAUCCUCUUUGAUGCUCAUAUAACCCUUUUAAUAUAGUAUAGAUAUGUAGAGAGAAAGUGCAUUAACUAAAUCAUAAAUAUUUAGUUUCGUGUUUCAAGUAAUUAAUAAUAAUAUAUGUACUACUUCGAUCUUCCUCAAAGAUAAAUAUUUUUGGAAAAUACUUUUUUCACAAAGAUAAUUUUUUGUGUUUAAAAAUACUUUUUUCACAAAGAUAACUUUUUUUGUUUUCUAUGUUUUUUACUAUUUAAUGAUAAAACUAUUAUUUAAAAAAUAAACUUAUUAAAAUACUACUCCCUCCGUUUCGAUUUAAGUGUCGUUAUAGGAAAAACAUUUCGUCUCAAAAUAAGUGUCGUUUUAAUGCAAAAUUUAUUAAUAAGAUUAUGCACUUUAUUUUUUUAUUGGUUGAAAAAUGGUUAGGUGUAUAGGUAAUUGUGUUUUUGUUUUGGAAAUAUAUAAAAUCAUAUGUUUUUUUAAUCCAUAUGCAUAAACUUAGAACAACAAUUAAAAUGAAACAGAUGGAGUAUCGGUUUAACUAUUAAAACUGAUAAUCAUAGAAAAUGUAUUAAUUAUACAAAUUUAGGGUGUUCUUGAUAUGUGUGCUCAAGUUUAAAAAAAAAUCUAUUUUCGUGGAACAAACGAAAUAACAAUUAUGGCAAGAAGUUAUAUUGUAACAAAAAAAAUUAAAAAGAGUUAAAGGCAUGGAAGACAGAUGUGGCCAGAGGUCGUGAGGUUCCAAGUAAAGGCAAAAACUUCGACUGUUACAAGAAAAUUACUUGUCCGAACACACAAAUUCUAUAAAUAUUAACGACAUGUGAUCACCUGCAUUUCUUCAUCAAAAUUAUCAAACUCUUAAUACACCAAAAACAUUAGAAAAUGGAGACAUUACUUACAUCAUUGGCUAUGGUUGUUGUAUUGUGGUGGAUAUGGAGAAUUGUGGAGUGGGUUUGGGUUAAGCCUAAGAUGCUAGAGAGUUACCUCAGAAAACAAGGUCUUGUCGGCACUCGUUACACGCCUCUUGUCGGAGAUGUGAGAAGAACUUUUAGCAUGUUGAAGGAAGCAAGAUCGAGACCAAUGAAACCAACGGAUGAUCUCAUUUCACUUGUCAUGCCUUACUCCUUUCAAAUGCUCAAUACUUACGGUAGAUAUGUUUUUCUUGGUUUGGAUUAUAGAUUUUUUUAUUUAUAAGUAAAUUGUCCUGAUAUAUGUAUGUGGCUGCAACAGGAAAUACCUUUUUCACAUGGUUAGGACCCGUACCAUCCAUCACAAUAAUGAAUCCACAACUGAUCAAAGAAGUGUAUAACAAAGUUUAUGAUUUCCCAAAGACUCACACGUUUCCUUUGCUUGCGUUGAUAACUGAUGGACUCGCUAAUGCUGAUGGAGAUAAGUGGGCUAAACACCGGAGGAUCAUCAACCCGGCAUUCCACUUUGAGAAGAUCAAGGUUUCUAGAUUCUCUUUUCUAAUAUGUCAGAUCCAAGUUAAAUUUCUUUUGACUAAUGAGUUGAUCAUAUUCCAACUUAUGUGCCUGUAUAUAUAGAAUAUGGUCCCUACGUUUCAUCAAUGUUGCCGCGAGGUUGUGUGCGAGUGGGAAAAGUUAGUUUCAGAUAAAGGGUCCUCUUGUGAGGUUGAUGUUUGGCCAUGGAUUGUGAAUCUAACCGGGGAUGUGAUUUCUCGUACCGCUUUCGGUAGCAGCUAUAAAGAAGGACAGAGGAUAUUCAUACUACAAGAGGAACUAGCAAAGCUCAUCAUGCAAGCUCUUGGAAAGAAUUACAUCCCUGGAUAUCGGUAAGAAACUUGACUUGUUUUGGUCUAAUACUAGCAUGACUGAUUUGUUUUCUAACACAAUAUACAAUCUUCUUAUGUUAUUUGGAAGUCACAAAACCUGGUGCAGCCUCUCCCUCAGUUAUAUGUUGCAGGUUUGCCUCCCCAUGGGUCUCUCCACUAACCUUGGAAUCUUUCACUUCCUUGUCAUUGCUAUUCUCUUCUUCCAGAUCAUCCAUGGAAUGUUCAGGAGUUG
Molecule: long non-coding RNA, 3583 nt
Filed under: Brassica napus (rape)
Lineage: Eukaryota; Viridiplantae; Streptophyta; Magnoliopsida; Brassicales; Brassicaceae
Description: long non-coding RNA (BNAP_LNC013493)
Source: RNAcentral